UUUUAUGACCCUGGCGGCAGGCUUAACACAUGCAAGUCGAGCGGAAACGAUGGUAGCUUGCUACCAGGCGUCGAGCGGCGGACGGGUGAGUAAUACUUAGGAAUCUACCUAGUAGUGGGGGAUAGCACGGGGAAACUCGUAUUAAUACCGCAUACGACCUACGGGAGAAAGGGGGCAGUUUACUGCUCUCGCUAUUAGAUGAGCCUAAGUCGGAUUAGCUAGAUGGUGGGGUAAAGGCCUACCAUGGCGACGAUCUGUAGCUGGUCUGAGAGGAUGAUCAGCCACACCGGGACUGAGACACGGCCCGGACUCCUACGGGAGGCAGCAAGUGGGGAAUAUUGGACAAUGGGGGAAACCCUGAUCCAGCCAUGCCGCGUGUGUGAAGAAGGCCUUUUGGUUGUAAAGCACUUUAAGCAGUGAAGAAAACUUCCGUGGUUAAUCCCCACGGACCGAUGACAUUUACUGCAGAAUAACACCGGCUAACUUUUGUGCCACCAGCCCCGGGUAAUCCAGAAGGGGCAAGCGUUAAUU
RNAcentral lists this ribosomal RNA (531 nucleotides) under uncultured Antarctic soil bacterium. RNAcentral's name for it is "bacterial SSU rRNA". It matches the Rfam family "Bacterial small subunit ribosomal RNA", at positions 33 to 541 of the family's 1533-position model. The record is from RNAcentral.